RNAcentral lists this ribosomal RNA (376 nucleotides) under uncultured bacterium. RNAcentral's name for it is "bacterial SSU rRNA". It matches the Rfam family "Bacterial small subunit ribosomal RNA", at positions 521 to 896 of the family's 1533-position model. The record is from RNAcentral.
UAAUACAGAGGGUGCGAGCGUUAAUCGGAGUUACUGGGCGUAAAGGGCGCGUAGGCGGUUAUAUAAGAUUGGUGUGAAAUCCCUGGGCUUAACCUAGGAACUGCAUCGAUAACUGUAUGACUGGAGUAUUGUAGAGGGUAGUGGAAUUUCCGGUGUAGCGGUGAAAUGCGUAGAGAUCGGAAGGAACACCAGUGGCGAAGGCGGCUACCUGGACAAAUACUGACGCUGAGGCGCGAGAGCGUGGGGAGCAAACAGGAUUAGAUACCCUGGUAGUCCACGCUGUAAACGAUGAAAACUAGAUGUUGGUCAGCAUGACUGAUUAGUAUCGAAGCUAACGCGAUAAGUUUUCCGCCUGGGGAGUACGACCGCAAGGUUA